Molecule: unclassified non-coding RNA, 407 nt
Filed under: plant metagenome
Description: partial contains 5.8S ribosomal RNA, internal transcribed spacer 2, and large subunit ribosomal RNA
Rfam family: Bacterial small subunit ribosomal RNA
Source: RNAcentral
GGAAUAUUGCGCCAUGGGCGGAAGCCUGACGCAGCGACGCCGCGUGGGGGAUGACGGCCUUCGGGUUGUAAACCUCUUUCAGCAGGGACGAAGCGGAAGUGACGGUACCUGCAGAAGAAGCACCGGCCAACUACGUGCCAGCAGCCGCGGUAAUACGUAGGGUGCAAGCGUUGUCCGGAAUUAUUGGGCGUAAAGAGCUCGUAGGCGGUUUGUUGCGUCGGCUGUGAAAACCUGAGGCUCAACCUCAGGCCUGCAGUCGAUACGAGCAAACUGGAGUGUUGCAGGGGAGACUGGAAUUCCUGGUGUAGCGGUGAAAUGCGCAGAUAUCAGGAGGAACACCGGUGGCGAAGGCGGGUCUCUGGGCAACAACUGACGCUGAGGAGCGAAAGCGUGGGGAGCGAACAGGA